AUGGUUGUUGUAAUCAGGAUAUCAUCGAGGUCACCGGAGUCGUCUUCGCUUCUGCAUCCCCCAGAUGGUGGAGAGCAGCAUGAUCUGGUCUCGUGGAGCAAUACUAUUGGUGUGAUAGGUCGUGACCUCUUCAUCUAUUGCCUUCACCGCCUCUCCGGGUGGGAAUAUGGCGCCAUCGCAUCCCUCAACCAUGAUUUCAAUUCAGUGGUUCGCAACGGGCACAUCUACCGCCUGCGUCGCAUGAACGGGGUCACAGAGCACUGGAUCUACCUCUCAGCUUGCAGUAAUAAUCCUCCGGAGUGGGAGGCUUAUGACCCGUCCACUGGGCGCUGGAUCCAACUUCCCAAGAUGCCACCGGCUGAAAGCAUAUUCAUCUGGGAGUCGCUUGCUGUAGGAACAGAGCUGCUGGUGUUUGGGGACAGAGGAAGGGUUGCCUUGAGAUAUAACAUCCUUACCAAUUCAUGGACAUGGCUGGCUGAUGCGAUGAACACCCCACGGAUCGCGUUUGGGUCAGCGAGUGUUGGUGAAAAGGCGUAUGUUGCGGGAGGCGUUGAUUCUUCUAUUAAAAUAUUGAGCUCCGUAGAGAUGUAUGACUCGGAGACACAUACCUGGACACCCCUUCCCAGCUUGAAUAGGGCUAGGUUCAGAUGCUCUGGAGCGUUCAUGGAUGGCAAGUUCUAUGUGAUCGGUGGUCUUACCAGUAGCAACGAGGUAUUGACAUGCGGUGAGGAGUAUGACUUGAACCGGCGGUCAUGGAGGGUCAUCCACAACAUGUCUCAGGGGCUCAACCAGACAUNUUGGGGAGCUCUUCCGCUCAUUGCAGUUGUGAAGAAUGAGCUUUAUGGCGCUGAUUACAGUAAGAAUAAUGAUUUGAGGCAGUAUGAUAAGAUGGACAACAAGUGGAUAACUCUUGGAAAAUUGCCUGUACAGUCUAAGAAAGAGGGCAAGGACAUGGGUUUCCGAGCGUGUGAUGACCGGCUGAUUGUUAUUGGGCCUCCAAACAAUUCUACUGAUGAAAACGUGGUUGAGCUUCAUUCAUGGAACCCGGAUGGGCAACCACCUGUGUGGAGUUUGUUUGCAACACGGCCAUACAGGGAGGGCUGGAUUCAGUCAACAUGCGCCAUGAUGGGUUGCUGA
This 1137-nucleotide ribosomal RNA is filed under the name Triticum aestivum (bread wheat). Its description in RNAcentral is "partial small subunit ribosomal RNA". The record is from RNAcentral. Lineage: Eukaryota; Viridiplantae; Streptophyta; Magnoliopsida; Poales; Poaceae.